RNAcentral lists this ribosomal RNA (675 nucleotides) under uncultured Vibrionaceae bacterium. Its description in RNAcentral is "bacterial SSU rRNA". It matches the Rfam family "Bacterial small subunit ribosomal RNA", at positions 1 to 671 of the family's 1533-position model. Lineage: Bacteria; Pseudomonadati; Pseudomonadota; Gammaproteobacteria; Vibrionales; Vibrionaceae. The record is from RNAcentral.
UAGAGUUUGAUCCUGGCUCAGAUUGAACGCUGGCGGCAGGCUUAACACAUGCAAGUCGAGCGGAAACGAUGGAAAGCUUGCUUUUCAGGCGUCGAGCGGCGGACGGGUGAGUAAUGCUUGGGAAUAUGCCUUAUGGUGGGGGACAACAGUUGGAAACGACUGCUAAUACCGCAUAACGUCUACGGACCAAAGGGGGGGAUCUUCGGACCUCUCGCCAUUUGAUUAGCCCAAGUGAGAUUAGCUAGUUGGUGAGGUAAAGGCUCACCAAGGCGACGAUCUCUAGCUGGUUUGAGAGGAUGAUCAGCCACACUGGGACUGAGACACGGCCCAGACUCCUACGGGAGGCAGCAGUGGGGAAUAUUGCACAAUGGGCGAAAGCCUGAUGCAGCCAUGCCGCGUGUGUGAAGAAGGCCUUCGGGUUGUAAAGCACUUUCAGUUGUGAGGAAAGGUAUGUAGUUAAUAACUGCAUACUGUGACGUUAACAACAGAAGAAGCACCGGCUAACUUCGUGCCAGCAGCCGCGGUAAUACGAGGGGUGCAAGCGUUAAUCGGAAUUACUGGGCGUAAAGCGUACGUAGGCGGUUUGUUAAGCAAGAUGUGAAAGCCCAGGGCUCAACCUUGGAACUGCAUUUUGAACUGGCAAACUAGAGUACUGUAGAGGGGGGUAGAAUUUCA